UUGACCUCGGAUCAGGCAGGGAUACCCGCUGAACUUAAGCAUAUCAAUAAGCGGAGGAAAAGAAACCAACAGGGAUUGCCUCAGUAACGGCGAGUGAAGCGGCAACAGCUCAAAUUUGAAAUCUGGCUCUUUUAGGGUCCGAGUUGUAAUUUGUAGAGGAUGCUUCGGCGUCGGCUCCGGUCUAAGUUCCUUGGAACAGGACGUCAUAGAGGGUGAGAAUCCCGUAUGUGAUCGGUUGCCCUUGCCAUGUGAAGCUCCUUCGACGAGUCGAGUUGUUUGGAAUGCAGCUCUAAUGGAGGUAAAUUUCUUCUAAGCUAAAUACUGGCCAGAGACCGAUAGCGCCCAAGUAGAGUGAUCGAAA
Molecule: ribosomal RNA, 361 nt
Filed under: uncultured Cenococcum
Lineage: Eukaryota; Fungi; Ascomycota; Dothideomycetes; Gloniales; Gloniaceae
Description: eukaryotic LSU rRNA
Rfam family: Eukaryotic large subunit ribosomal RNA
Source: RNAcentral